Molecule: long non-coding RNA, 588 nt
Organism: Felis catus (domestic cat)
Lineage: Eukaryota; Metazoa; Chordata; Mammalia; Carnivora; Felidae
Exons: 2
Source: RefSeq, a predicted model, not a curated record
UAAGAAUAACCUAGAAUGUACUGGCAGGAACGAGGGGAGCGUGAUGGGAACUGGAUUUUGGUGGUGUCUAAUCAAGAGAGAUGGCAGGUAAGACUGGACAAGCAAGAAUUCAUGAAUUUAGGGACAUAUUCUCAGGACCACAGGAGAUAUAAUACCCCACUGAGGACUCUUGAGGAUGGAGUGACUCUUAGAAGCCUGGAAAAAACAAUGGCCAAUUGAAAGUGUAAUGGAAACACCUGAGUUGCCCAAGCGGAUGGAAGAGAAAGGAACAAAGAAGUUGACAGAGGAAAUGUUCUAGAAUGGAUAUAUUAUGUAAGAACUACUAGUAGUCUGUGUUCCAUAGGGCACAUCACUCACCAAGGCUAUUACAGAAGGAAUAUGAAGAUGAGAGAGCAUCUGCUUCACUAAGAAGUUCAGUGGUGGCUUUCUUCUACAGACUAGAGCUGACAUCAGGAGAGGCAGUCUUGGGUUUCCAGAUGAGCUAAUUUACAAAUCCAGAACCCCAUGGAGAGAAGAGGUGGCUGGGUCCAUAGAAGAAAGGACAUCUUGAAACAUCUUGAAAAGUGUAUAAAAUGAUCCUCAAAGGGA